This 292-nucleotide ribosomal RNA is filed under the name uncultured bacterium. RNAcentral's name for it is "partial 16S ribosomal RNA". It matches the Rfam family "Bacterial small subunit ribosomal RNA", at positions 505 to 796 of the family's 1533-position model. The record is from RNAcentral.
GUGUCAGCAGCCGCGGUAAUACGGGGGGGGCAAGCGUUGUUCGGAAUUACUGGGCGUAAAGGGCUCGUAGGUGGCCAACUAAGUCAAUCGUGAAAUCCCUCGGCUUAACCGGGGAACUGCGCUUGAUACUGGAUGGCUUGAGUUUGGGAGAGGGAUGCGGAAUUCCAGGUGUAGCGGUGAAAUGCGUAGAUAUCUGGAGGAACACCGGUGGCGAAGGCGGCAUCCUGGACCAAUACUGACGCUGAGGAGCGAAAGCUAGGGGAGCAAACGGGAUUAGAAACCCGUGUAGUCC